GGCUUAGAUACCCUGGUAGUCCACGCUGUAAACGGUGGGUACUAGGUGUGGGGUCCAUUCCACGGGUUCCGUGCCGUAGCUAACGCUCUAAGUACCCCGCCUGGGGAGUACGGCCGCAAGGCUAAAACUCAAAGGAAUUGACGGGGCCCCGCACAAGCGGCGGAGCAUGCGGAUUAAUUCGAUGCAACGCGUAGAACCUUACCUGGGUUUGACAUGGAUCGGGAGCGCUCAGAGAUGGGUGUGCCUCUUUUGGGGUCGGUUCACAGGUGGUGCAUGGCUGUCGUCAGCUCGUGUCGUGAGAUGUUGGGUUAAGUCCCGCAACGAGCGCAACCCUUGUUCACUGUUGCCAGCACGUUAUGGUGGGGACUCAGUGGAGACCGCCGGGGUCAACUCGGAGGAAGGUGGGGAUGACGUCAAGUCAUCAUGCCCCUUAUGUCCAGGGCUUCACGCAUGCUACAAUGGCUGGUACAGAGAGUGGCGAGCCUGUGAGGGUGAGCGAAUCUCGGAAAGCCGGUCUCAGUUCGGAUUGGGGUCUGCAACUCGACCUCAUGAAGUCGGAGUCGCUAGUAAUCGCAGAUCAGCAACGCUGCGGUGAAUACGUUCCCGGGGCUUGUACACACCGCCCGUCAAGUCAUGAAAGUUGGUAACACCCGAAGCCGGUGGCCUAACCGUUGUGGGGGAGCCGUCGAAGGUGGGACUGGUGAUUAGGACU
RNAcentral lists this ribosomal RNA (712 nucleotides) under uncultured bacterium. Its description in RNAcentral is "bacterial SSU rRNA". It matches the Rfam family "Bacterial small subunit ribosomal RNA", at positions 775 to 1482 of the family's 1533-position model. The record is from RNAcentral.